This 462-nucleotide ribosomal RNA is filed under the name uncultured bacterium. Its description in RNAcentral is "bacterial SSU rRNA". It matches the Rfam family "Bacterial small subunit ribosomal RNA", at positions 28 to 490 of the family's 1533-position model. The record is from RNAcentral.
GAUGAACGCUAGCGGCAGGCUUAACACAUGCAAGUCGAGGGGUAUGCCGAUUUAUCGGCAGAGACCGGCGCACGGGUGCGUAACGCGUAUGCAAUCUACCUUUCACAGAGGGAUAGCCCAGAGAAAUUUGGAUUAAUACCUCAUAGUAUAGCAAUUUCGCAUGAAACCACUAUUAAAGUUCCAACGGUGAAAGAUGAGCAUGCGUCCCAUUAGCUAGAUGGUAAGGUAACGGCUUACCAUGGCUACGAUGGGUAGGGGUCCUGAGAGGGAGAUCCCCCCACACUGGUACUGAGACACGGACCAGACUCCUACGGGAGGCAGCAGUGAGGAAUAUUGGUCAAUGGACGCAAGUCUGAACCAGCCAUGCCGCGUGCAGGAUGACGGUCCUAUAGAUUGUAAACUGCUUUUGUACGAGAAGAAACACAUUACGNGUAAUGUCUUGACGGUAUCGUUAAGAAUAAG